Molecule: non-coding RNA, 96 nt
Organism: Microbotryomycetes sp. JL201
Lineage: Eukaryota; Fungi; Basidiomycota; Microbotryomycetes
Source: the annotation of a GenBank genome assembly
GCUCCCGUAGCACAGUGGUAGUUGCGCUUGCCUAGUAAUUUCUCUCUUCACGUGUACGAGAGCAAGAGGUCCAGAGUUCGAAUCUCUGUGGGAGCA